Molecule: long non-coding RNA, 432 nt
Filed under: Bos taurus (domestic cattle)
Lineage: Eukaryota; Metazoa; Chordata; Mammalia; Artiodactyla; Bovidae
Description: long non-coding RNA NONBTAT024993
Source: RNAcentral
GUUGAAUUCAGCAAAUCAAGUGGUCUGUGAUAAAAAAACAAAACAAACAAACAAACAAAAUAACAUCGGUUUUGAGGACCCGAAGCCACAGAAUAAGGGGGCACAUGGCAUUUACACCCUAACUCUGUAGGACAAAAGAAUCAUGCUUAAACCAACUCAUGCAUUCUUGAAAAAGUAUCUGCAACCUAAGCAUGUGGAAAAUUUUCUACUGUCUCAUAUAUUAACUUGAGAAAGUUUCCAUUUUCAUUUUUAACCAACACUCCAGAGCAGAGGUACCUGAUAUUUACCUCCUGAGGGGUUCCUAAUCUCAGUCUCUGUCGGGCAAUGGCCUGAAAGCCAGCAUCUGAAGACACAGAAUUUAAAGGAAUCCAGUAGCAAGACAAACAAUUAGAAUAAUAAUCAUUAAUAACCCAAUGUAGGGAUAAUACAGAA